UACUCGAGUGGCGAACGGGUGAGUAACACGUGGGUGAUCUGCCCUGCACUUCGGGAUAAGCUUGGGAAACUGGGUCUAAUACCGGAUAGGAGCCAUCUUUAGUGUGGUGGUUGGAAAGUUUUUUCGGUGUAGGAUGAGCCCGCGGCCUAUCAGCUUGUUGGUGGGGUAAUGGCCUACCAAGGCGGCGACGGGUAGCCGGCCUGAGAGGGUGUACGGCCACAUUGGGACUGAGAUACGGCCCAG
Molecule: ribosomal RNA, 243 nt
Filed under: uncultured Actinomycetales bacterium
Lineage: Bacteria; Bacillati; Actinomycetota; Actinomycetes; Actinomycetales
Description: partial 16S ribosomal RNA
Rfam family: Bacterial small subunit ribosomal RNA
Source: RNAcentral